AACUAGAUGGCUCAGUGGAUAGAGCACUGGCCCUGAAAGUCAGGAGAACCUGAGUUCAAAUCUGAUUUCAGAUA
This 74-nucleotide transfer RNA is filed under the name Sarcophilus harrisii (Tasmanian devil). It matches the Rfam family "tRNA". Rfam says of the family: Transfer RNA (tRNA) molecules are approximately 80 nucleotides in length. Their secondary structure includes four short double-helical elements and three loops (D, anti-codon, and T loops). The record is from Rfam by way of RNAcentral. Lineage: Eukaryota; Metazoa; Chordata; Mammalia; Dasyuromorphia; Dasyuridae.